GAAACAGUACCGGGGGCGGGUCGAGCGACGCAGCCGGGACGGUAGCUGCGGCGCGGACCGGAGGAGCCAUCUUGUCUCGUCGCCGGGGAGUCAGGCCCCUAACUCGAAGAAGCCCUGGCGCGCCCUCCCCCCCUCCCGGGUCUGGUAGGGCGAAGGAGCGGGCGCGCGGUCGAUCGAGCGAUCGGUUGGCGGCUCUUUCUCCUGCUCUGGCAUCCAGCUCUUGGGGCGCAGGCCCGGCCGCCGCGGCGCGCGCCCGGUGGCCGUUGGCGCUCGCGCCGCGUCUUUCUUCUCGUACGCAGAACUCGGGCGGCGGCCUAUGCGUUUGCUAUUCGACGAGGAGUCGUCCGGGUGGUCGGCGGCGGCGGGCAGCUGCUCCGCCCCGCUCCCGGGGAGGCGGUGGCAGCGGGAUUUGGCGCGGCCGGGGAGGCGGGGGUGGCCGGGGCUGGCCUGGAGGCCUGGCGCCAUUCUUCGGGGCCCGCAAGGACCCAGUUGGGGGGACAGGAGGCGGCUGGGGGAUGGUUGGUGGUGGGCUUUUUGCUUUGCCUUUUCCUCCUUAUGCCGCCUUAGUGAGGGCCGGGAGCUCUGGGGGCAGCUCCGGGGUGGGGAGACGAGACCCGGAGUCGAAAGAGCUAGGUUUGCUUCCGGGCCUGGCCAACAGCUGCCCGAGUGACCUUAGGCAAGUCACUCUGUAAUUUGUCUGCGCCUCAGUUUCCUCCUCUGCCUAUCAGCGUUCGUAGAAUUGGACGCACUUUGUAAACUGUAAAGCGUAGGUGUGCGUAAAGGAUGAUUAUUGUUUGUAAAAGUUUUUUGAGUUGAAAGAAACUUAGCGAUUUUCCAAUCCUUGGAUUUUUAACCUGGGAACCUUGGAUUGGAGAUAGAGAUCCCUAACCUCCCUGAAAUUGUAUGCAGAAAUGUGUAGAAAUGUGCAUUUUAGGGGAGGGAGGAUCCAUUGCGAUCAAGUUUACUGAGGAGGCUGUGACCAAGAAGAGUUAAGAACCACAAUUCCUUUAUGCGAAAGGGAGGAAACUGAGGCCUAGAUGUCAUUUGGGACCCUUCACAACCAGUUUGAAGCCCCUGUUUGAGUCCCUGGAAUAUGUGAGCUGUUUCUAUGCAUAAUGGACAUUCCGGGUAUCAACACUCCCCUGUUUGGCUUCUAUUCUGAGCCCUUUACUUUCACCAUGGGGUGCCUGAAGGGUGGCUAGUGCGUAUGGUACAGUGGCACUCUGUGUAAAGCAGCUCAGUCUAGGAUUGGGAUAUGUUAUCUAGUAUCAAGAAGCCUGUUUAAUUUUUGGCCCAGCAACUCUUUGUUUUUUUGUUUUUUUUGUUUUGCUGCUUCUACUGGUGCCUGAUAUCUUUCAUUUUAUCAUUUUUCACAACCAUGGUUGACAUCUUGCUCCUACUUAAAGUAUUCUGUAUCUCUAGUCUGUGUGGUUGGUAGUGAACACGCUUAUUUUUAAAUGGUGCUGCAAGCCCAGCUAUUUAAUGGUGCACGUGGCUUUUUAGCAAGCAGCUCACUGGAACAGACUGAACCGGGCAUGGAGUUCCUGAACAUGUUUGGUGUUUUUUGUUUUUGUUUUUUUUUAAUUAAUUGAAGGUUAACAUGCCCUGAAACAUUUUGUUUGUACAAUUCCUGCUGAACCUCAAAAUUAGUAGAUUUGGAAGUGAUUCAAAGCUUAACUUUUCCUGGCCUGCCCUAUAUUCUAAUUGCUUGCAAGUCUUGAUAUUAAAAUGGCCAAAAUGCCAGUUUUUGCUUGUUACUUGUCAGCUGCUUUUAUCAAAUUCCAGGCCAUUAUUCAGCAAACACUAUAGAAAUGUUUGAAGAGUUGGAUUUCAAGCAUUUUUGUUUUGUGGUGUGGUGCUUACCAGUGGUACAGCUCUAAGCAAGAGAACAGAAAUAAACACAUUUAAAUGUAUUUUGUCUGGUUAGGUGUUAGCGGGUCCUACUAUUUCAUACAAAUGUCUGAAAAAAAUCACUUGACUAUUCCUUUUAUAUAAAAGGCACAGACAAAGUGAUCUCACUUCCAGAGAAAUGACUGUUUUGGAGAAAAAUGUAUUGAUCUUUUAGCUCUUCUGUAAUUAAAUCUGGAUGUACCUCAAAAGAAUCUUUAGACUGUGGUGAUAAGAUGCUUUCCUCUGGAGAAAAGAGGGAAAAAAACAACUGGAAUACAAAGCUUGAAUUUUUGUGACAAAACAUGAUACCCAGGAUUGGAGGUGCAAAGAGUUUCGCUGUCACGUUCACCUGCGCUAUCUGGAGCAGGUAUCUUUCAUUGUAGCCACAGCCAUGGAAUCCAGAUUUCCAAGAACUGGACCUGAAACCCAGGAGAGCUUAUCAGGAUGGGCAGAACUCUGGAACUAGACAUUUUUUAAUUGUGAAUUUUUGAACUGUUGACCUUGCUGUGAGAAAAUAGGCAACGACUGAACAGUAUUGCCACCAGCACCGAUACUGGGAAUUAGAAGACCUGAGCUUCUGUCCAGACCCUUGGUACAAAUUCUGACGGCACUCCAUCCAAAGUGAACUAGGAUCUGGUACCUGGAUUUUUGCCCAUGUUUGAGUCCUACUACCUUACUACUGAAGAAGACACCAUUCCUGUGGACCACUGUGACCCAAGAGGCAUUCAGCCAUGAUGAUGUGGCCUUCACCUCCACUCUUUUCCUGUUCUACCCAGAUUCAACACAACCCCUUAAAGUGAAGUCAGAGCCUCAAACCAAAUAGCUGAAGCUACUUUGUGAUAACAACAAAGGUACAGUUUGUUCCAUGAGAGCUCAUUUCUUCAGUCAGAGCCUUCAGAGACACAGUGAAAUUUGGGACAGGGAAUUUUUAGUUAUCAAUGCUAUCUGAAGAACAACAACAUCUCUUUGAGAAGAGCAUUGGACCACACCCCACAAUCUCAAAUAAUUGAUUCAUGAAGAAUCUAGGAUCCAUAAAGGUCACUGCAGAUCUGUAGUAGCCUCCUGAAUGGGAAAGCAGAUAUUCUGACCUGUUGGGAGCAAAACAAAGACAUAGUGAACUCUUCAUAGCAUCUUCUUUGGGAUUACUCAGGAACCAGAACUUUUCACACAAAUGUGAGAAAUUCUACCAAGGAAUUCCUUUACCUAACAGCAUCUCACAAAGCUCCAAUCAGAUUCCAGAAAAGGCUUCUUGAUACAUCAAGCUUUUUGUGAACAACCUAUUCUUAGAUCGUUUUCCAGAGGCUUUGUGGCUAUGAAGCACUUUGAAUGAAAACUAUGCGGAAGCCCUGAGUAAAAGUGAUGCUGCUCUGGAUGAAGCAGGAGUGGGGGGGACUAAAACCCUCUACAAGCCCUUUCCUUCUCACCAUGGUGACAGCCAAGGGGACUUCCUUGCAACACCUAGAGUUCCUCAGAACAGUUUGAAAACCACUGCCCUAGAGAACAAUGUAAUGUUUGACCUGGAUGUCAUCCUGAUCUUUUCUGCUCCUCUACCCAACACAGCCCUUGUUCAGUUGAUGCUGAACAUAUUUAUGAAUACUUACUGCGUGCACAUUUUUAAAAAUACAAGAAGAUAGGCUGUCUUUGUCCCCCAGAAUAUUCAGAUGGACUGAAGGUGGUGUCAAAUGGACCUAAUUUGACAGCUCUCCACCCCCAGAUGGACUUCAGUGAUUCCUGGGAUUGAAUAUAGCCAGAGAGUGAUUCAUACAUACUCUACACUGACAAACCAACUUCUUUCACAAACACCAGACGCUCUAGUGGUACUUGAAGUAUAUAUGACUUUGAAGUCUUGAUCUUCAGAUACCUAAAUAUGUAAUGAAUAUUGAAGCUAAUGCAUCAUUGGGACCAUAAUAUACCAUCUUGUGCAUUUGAUCUCUCAUCAUUAGCCACAGUCUGCUGCUUCAUGUGCAGGGGAUAACCAUUAGCUAUGAAAGUAGCAUUCAGAGACUGGCAACUUUACCUGAAAGGGGCUCAGUACCUGCUUAUCAAUCAUCUUACUCUCAAACUACAAGUCAUUAUAUGACUCAACCAGUGGCAGUUCACUGCUCUUUGGUUUCUAUUCAUUUAAUUACUAUUUUCAGGAUAGACAAACUAAUAACCUGAAAAAAAAAAAAAAAGCCAAAACACUUCCUCCAUCACUGGCAUACCUGCCUAUCCUGCUGCCGAAUUAUGACUGCUCAGUUCUAACUACAAAUAACAGCUUAUCCACAAGAGACAAUCUUGGAACAUCCUUUUUCAUAAGUGAUUAAAAGCUUAUUUUCCAGCCAAUGAGAGGAGUUCUAUUAAGGAUGAGUCUUUUGAUAUCUGAUACCAUCAAUUCUAGGUGUUAGGGUUAUUUGGAGGCAUGUUCUUUGACCAUUCCAUGAUAGCUUACUUGCUGGGCAUUUCAAAUCACACAUCAUCCAUCUUUUUUGCUGGAAAUGUAGACUUACUUGAAAAGAAAUCUACAAAGACUGCAGCUAAGGAUUUUAUCAGUUGACUCAAGAUCUUCCUGCUGCUUAUUCAUGUUGUAAGACCACAGUUCCCUGUCUUUGUGGAUGUAAUUGCAUUUCAUCUGUCUCAGUAGAAUUUUUUUACUCUGGCAGACACCUGAUUCAGAGUGGCUCACAUCAUUCCUUGUCAUGAGAUACUCUCAGGCACCAGGACAACUUUUCUGUUCUUGUAAGAAGGAUUCAUUAACUCCCACACCAAAUCACCUUGAACUAGAAAACAUCGAUUCAUGUUAUGAGAAAACCUUGUUGCUUUACUUCGCAAAGUCCAGCUUUCAGCUGCUCUAAUGAAUGCACUGAUUAAACAUUGGGAAUGGCUUCUUUGUAUCUCUCUUCCUGUAGACCAAUUGUAAUUACCUGACUAAACUCUACAAAUCAUCUUUCCAAGUCCUCCUGUACCUGGCUGAGGUCAUAAUCAAGGCCUAGGUCUGGUUGCUCUAGACUUCUCACCCUUCAACAAAUAAAAAUAAAAUCUGGAUGACUUGCCUGCUUGUAUAUACAGCUAUUAUUUGUAAAGAACAAAGGAUCUAAAAAGCUCAAUUUUUUUACUACCUUCAAAAUACCAGCUUUUUUUUCCCCUCUUUCUCCUGUAUUUUACAGAAAAAGACAUUGAUCUACACUGCCAGUCAUUUCCUCUGAUCCUGUCAAACUCAGCCAAAAUGAGAGGUUUAAAAUCAGAAUGACCUCUGCCCAUGAGUCUUCACGUACAUUGUGUAUGAAAAUUGGGGGCUGGAAAACAAAAAGCCUGGAAUUAAAAUCUAGGAGCUUGCUUACUAUCUCCAUGCUUCAAGUCUCCUCUGCAUCUUUCAGUGGCACCAUUCAACUAUUCUGAGGCCUUGACUUGCUUGUAAAAGGAUUCUGAGAUGGGCUGAGUUACAGAAGACGAAAACAUGAUUACCAAAGAAAGUAGGGCCAUCCUUGACAAACUUAGCUCCUCCGACCCUACUGUUCCCAGAUGUAGCAAAGACUCCUAAGCUUCACCUCAAAUCUAGAUUGAGCAUAUGGCCUUCUCCUGAGCUGAAAGAUACUGGGCAGAUGAGCAGUAAAAUGAAAGAUGCUAUAGCUGACUGGCCCAUUAAGAUCAGAAAGUUGUAUCCUGUGUAAGCACUACAGAUUAACCUUGGAAUACCUAGGGUAAGAACUAAUUCCCAGAGCUUCAUUAUUAAUCUUCCUGUUCUUUGAGGUCAUAUCUUCCUUUUUUGUAUGGCUGGUCCUGUUGGAGGUACCCUGCUUGCUUUACCUGACUUAGCCCUUGCUUACCUUUCUUCGAUGUGUUGCUGCAAAUCAGACUGGCUGCUCUUGAAAAGAAUACAACCAGCCUCAGCCUAUUUUGUGCCUAUUUCCACCAAGGAUUUUGAACAAAAACAAGCCACACCUCACCCCACCAGGACUUAAUGUUCACAGCAGGAAGGCCAUGCUGUACACUCCUUGACCAGCAGCUAUUUUUUUAAAAGUGCAGAGUAGGCUUGUAUGCCUAUAUGUCAUUUCAAGCACCUGGAACCUUUUCUACCACAUCUGGAAGGAGUACACACUCAUAACAUUGUCGAUUCCUCUCCUGCAAUAAUACAGAGGUGAGUCGCCAGUAGUCAGAGAAACAAGGAACACCAGAAAGGUUUUCCAUUGAACUUAAAAUCUGCAUCUAAGUCAAAUAACCUCACAAGACUGUUUGCCAGUGGGGGCUAGUUGUCCUGCUUCACAUCAGCAAGACAGUUGGGCUGUCAGACCCCUGACCACCAAGUUUGCUUAUAUUUAAACUCUGUUACCAUCCAAAGUAUGUUAUUGGACAUGAUUUAUUAUUCCAUUCAAAUGGAUUACAGGCUUCCUGAGGACAGGACAAAUUUAUUUAUCCCUCUUGAUGUUUUCAGAAUACUUUUAUUUAUUACCAAGGAAGAAAUUAUGCCAGCUGUUACUAUUCAACUUCAUGAGCAGAGAUUAAAGUUUUUUAUUAUCUGGUCUCAUCCCAGACAUCACUUGUUUUUUAUAGCCUAGUAUUCAUUCCAUGUUCUUGUAAUAACUCAAUGUUUCUUGGAACCACCUUUCACUAGGCCCAGUCCAUGUGGUUCAGAAGGGCCAACCCAACUUGGGACAUUACAGAGGUUCAUAUAAUUAAGAUCCAAUCAGUCAGAACAGUUUAUCUCCUUGACCAUAGCAAUUGGUUCAGGAAUGGUCAUGUGAUCCAAGUUGGUCCAGUGAUAGUCAGCCCUACAAAUUUUACUGAACUGUGGAGAAGCUUUGCUGCAGUUGCUAAGCUUCAUAGGAUGAAAAGCUGGAACCAACAAGGCCCACUACAUACAGUGAGCCAGUCAGAGAAUAAGCCAGUGCAAAGGAAAGAGCCAAAAGAUGAAGAGACUUGCAUUCCUGAUAACAUCAUUUGCAUCCCUGGAUCCAACUGUGCCUGAAGCUAGUAUAUCCCCUGGACUUUUCAGUUAUGUGAACCAAUAAAUUCCCUUUUUUGCUUAAGUCA
This is a long non-coding RNA of Choloepus didactylus (southern two-toed sloth), 6900 nucleotides long. RefSeq lists it as uncharacterized. The transcript is spliced from 3 exons. The record is from RefSeq and is a predicted model, not a curated record. NCBI's taxonomy places the organism in Eukaryota, Metazoa, Chordata, Mammalia, Pilosa, Megalonychidae.